Molecule: transfer RNA, 77 nt
Filed under: Litoribacillus peritrichatus
Lineage: Bacteria; Pseudomonadati; Pseudomonadota; Gammaproteobacteria; Oceanospirillales; Oceanospirillaceae
Also listed under: 4 other names
Description: tRNA-Met
Rfam family: tRNA
About the family: Transfer RNA (tRNA) molecules are approximately 80 nucleotides in length. Their secondary structure includes four short double-helical elements and three loops (D, anti-codon, and T loops).
Source: RNAcentral
GGGCCUGUAGCUCAGCUGGUUAGAGCACUCGACUCAUAAUCGAUAGGUCCACGGUUCAAGUCCGUGCAGGCCCACCA